UACGGGAGGCAGCAGUGGGGAAUAUUGCACAAUGGGGGAAACCCUGAUGCAGCGACGCCGCGUGAGGGAUGACGGCCUUCGGGUUGUAAACCUCUUUCAGUAGGGAAGAAGCCUUUCGGGGUGACGGUACCUGCAGAAGAAGUACCGGCUAACUACGUGCCAGCAGCCGCGGUAAU
RNAcentral lists this ribosomal RNA (176 nucleotides) under uncultured rumen bacterium. Its description in RNAcentral is "partial 16S ribosomal RNA". It matches the Rfam family "Bacterial small subunit ribosomal RNA", at positions 340 to 524 of the family's 1533-position model. The record is from RNAcentral.